Molecule: transfer RNA, 77 nt
Filed under: Chiropterargas boueti
Lineage: Eukaryota; Metazoa; Arthropoda; Arachnida; Ixodida; Argasidae
Description: Argas boueti tRNA-Pro
Source: RNAcentral
GAAAAUAGUAUAAUUAUUAUUUAAAUAUUGGGAAUUUAAGAUGACUUCUUUUCUGAUAAUAUAAGAAGAUAUUUUCG